Molecule: long non-coding RNA, 878 nt
Organism: Salvelinus sp. IW2-2015
Lineage: Eukaryota; Metazoa; Chordata; Actinopteri; Salmoniformes; Salmonidae
Source: RefSeq, a predicted model, not a curated record
UUUAAUAAUUUAAUUAGAACUGUUUUAACACCAAUUAUAAUCAAACUAUCGCAAACUGUUUGACUUGAAAAAAUACAAAACGUUUUUUUUUUAAAGAGCAGUCUGAGAACCAAAAGAGACGKCUCUUUUUGGUGAGCUGAGCCGAAAGAGUCGGAAUGCCCAUCACUACUAUCUGUCCGGUAGGAGUAAUGUAUUUGACAGUAACGUUAUACCUGUUUCAAACAAGCAAACUUCUAUACUUUUUCAUAUGUUAUAGCUAAUUUUCCCCCAACAUCGGACACUCUCUAGCGGUUGGAGGACUAAAUCACCUCGAGCUCAACAUUUAAAUGAACGAUACCCUUCUAGCUAACUGAAGACACCCUUGUAGCUAACUGACCACCGAUUUUUAUUGCAAUUUAUAUAUCAUCAAAUAAAAAACCAUGGAGAAAGUCAAGAGGAAACAGUGGAGUGAGGUGGACAUGUUCCAUGCAGUGGAGGACUGCGGGGCAGGGAUGGCUAUCCGSCWGGCUGCCAAUGUUAGGCAUCUUUUGUUUUUAGGAGAUUACCACGUGUAUGCACAUUUCAUCUGCUAGUAACAGUUUUAUUCUCUUAUCUACCAAGGUGCAUGGUGUACCUCGGUAGACCCGGGCGGACAGGCUGAGCGGCCGGUUGACCCAUGGUUGUCGCAGUGGACCACCCACAUCGCUUGCACCAGAGGAUGAAAAUUGGUGUAGUACUGUAUCUACCAAAAAACAAAACAAACAUUUUCAUUCUGGUUGGAUAAUUUUCUAUUCAAAUUUUUGUGACAAGAUAGGGAUGGAGAUCGAGAUUUAAUUGUUUUGUUUGUUUUCAUAUAAAAUUAUUUAUGCGCUCCAGCAGGUAUAUCUCUCUGGUCACCC